GAUGAAGAACGCAGCGAAAUGCAAUACUUGGUGUGAAUUGCAGAAUCCCGUGAACCAUCGAGUCUUUGAACGCAAGUUGCGCCUCAAGCCAUUAGGUUGAGGGCACGUCUGCCUGGGCGUCACAUAUCGUUGCCUGAUGCCAGUUUCCUCGUGAUGGGUGACUGUGCAGGGCGAAUGAUGGCUUCCCGUGAGCAUUGUUGCCUCAUGGUUGGUUGAAAAUUGAGUCCUUGGUAGGGAGCGCCGUGAUAGAUGGUGGUUGAGUGACGAACGAGACCCAAUCAUGUGAGACCCCUACCGAAUUUGGCCUUCAUGACCCACAUGCGUCUUUGGAACGCUCAUGACGAGACCUCAGGUCAGGCGGGGCUACCCGCUGAGUUUAAGCAUAUCAAUAAGCGGAGGA
RNAcentral lists this unclassified non-coding RNA (400 nucleotides) under soil metagenome. RNAcentral's name for it is "partial contains 5.8S ribosomal RNA, internal transcribed spacer 2, and large subunit ribosomal RNA". The stretch from base 1 to 122 matches the Rfam family "5.8S ribosomal RNA", at positions 35 to 154 of the family's 154-position model. The record is from RNAcentral.